GAAUGGGGGGGGGGGUGAGCCCCCUCCCACCCUGCCUUCUUCUCCAGGACGUGGAGCUUCCACUCCGGAUUGCUGCUCUGCCCCGUAGAUCGGGGGGCGGGGCGGCUUUCGAUGCUGCAGGAAAGGAAAGGAGAAUCGGGAGCGAGGACAAAGAGACAAUGUCAGAGUGACUGACAAGCUGAGAUACAAUCCAUCAUCAUCCUAUGACAGCGACUGCAUGAAUCUUCCCAGUCAAAGGACCCAUUUUCUUGAUAGACAGUGCCUGUGGCUGGAGGCUCUACACACCGGGUUUGCCUGUGGAGGCCAGAGACUGCCAGUAUUAGCACAGGUGAG
This is a non-coding RNA of Podarcis muralis (Common wall lizard), 333 nucleotides long. NCBI's taxonomy places the organism in Eukaryota, Metazoa, Chordata, Lepidosauria, Squamata, Lacertidae. The record is from RefSeq and is a predicted model, not a curated record.